This is a non-coding RNA of Pelobates cultripes (western spadefoot toad), 233 nucleotides long. NCBI's taxonomy places the organism in Eukaryota, Metazoa, Chordata, Amphibia, Anura, Pelobatidae. The record is from the annotation of a GenBank genome assembly.
GUCCUCGGGUGACAGUGCGCUAGGACAGCAGCGGGCCCCCAGGAGCAGGGAUGCUAGGCCGGCAAGGCGGUGCGAAGCUUGGAAUUGCGGAGAAGAGCGUAGGGAGGAAGGACGGGUAGGGGCCCAGCAGUACAGACUACCCAGGUUGUCUUCUCCUUACAGGUCGCGGAGCGCUACCCCUACGGUCCUGAGGAGGGAUCAGGCGGAUGGGAGUCGGCGUCAACCGGAUGCUC